RNAcentral lists this ribosomal RNA (599 nucleotides) under Vibrio europaeus. RNAcentral's name for it is "bacterial SSU rRNA". It matches the Rfam family "Bacterial small subunit ribosomal RNA", at positions 1 to 579 of the family's 1533-position model. The record is from RNAcentral. Lineage: Bacteria; Pseudomonadati; Pseudomonadota; Gammaproteobacteria; Vibrionales; Vibrionaceae.
AAAUUGAAGAGUUUGAUCAUGGCUCAGAUUGAACGCUGGCGGCAGGCCUAACACAUGCAAGUCGAGCGGAAACGAGUUAACUGAACCUUCGGGGGACGUUAACGGCGUCGAGCGGCGGACGGGUGAGUAAUGCCUAGGAAAUUGCCCUGAUGUGGGGGAUAACCAUUGGAAACGAUGGCUAAUACCGCAUAAUGCCUUCGGGCCAAAGAGGGGGACCUUCGGGCCUCUCGCGUCAGGAUAUGCCUAGGUGGGAUUAGCUAGUUGGUGAGGUAAGGGCUCACCAAGGCGACGAUCCCUAGCUGGUCUGAGAGGAUGAUCAGCCACACUGGAACUGAGACACGGUCCAGACUCCUACGGGAGGCAGCAGUGGGGAAUAUUGCACAAUGGGCGCAAGCCUGAUGCAGCCAUGCCGCGUGUAUGAAGAAGGCCUUCGGGUUGUAAAGUACUUUCAGCAGUGAGGAAGGUGGUGUAGUUAAUAACUGCAUCACUUGACGUUAGCUGCAGAAGAAGCACCGGCUAACUCCGUGCCAGCAGCCGCGGUAAUACGGAGGGUGCGAGCGUUAAUCGGAAUUACUGGGCGUAAAGCGCAUGCAGGUGGU